This is a long non-coding RNA of Phasianus colchicus (ring-necked pheasant), 2599 nucleotides long. Lineage: Eukaryota; Metazoa; Chordata; Aves; Galliformes; Phasianidae. The record is from Ensembl.
CUAUGGGGCACAGCUCAGCACCACCCAAUGACGUCACUCUGCCCAAUGACGUCAGCAGCCAAUGACGUCAGCCCCACCCGAUGACGUCACACGGCCCGAUGACGUCACCGCCCAAUGACAGCCGCCCCGCCCGAUGACGUCAGCAGCAUCCAACGGCAUCAGCCCCGCCCUAUGGCGUCAGCAGCCAAUGACGUCACCCCCUCCCAAUGACGUCAGCCCCUCCCGAUGACGUCAGCCCCUCCCAAUGACGUCACCACCCAAUGACGUCAGCCCCGCCCCGAUGACGUCAGCAGCAGCCAAUGGCAUCAGCCCCACCCGAUGACGUCAGCAGCCAUUGAUGGCCGCCCCCGCCCGAUGACGUCACCCCACCCGAUGACGUCAGCACCACCCGAUGACGUCAGCAGCAGCCAAUGGCAGCAGCCCCGCCCAAUGACGUCAUCCCGCCCAAUGACGUCAGCGCCGCCCGAUGCCGUCACCGCCCAAUGACGUCACCACCCGAUGACGUCAGCAGCAGCCAAUGACGUCACCCCGCGCCAUGACGUCACAGCGGCACUUCCGUUUAUUACAAGCGAUCGUUUGGCCCCAAAUCCGCCCCUCCCCCCCACACCUCCGCCCCACAGCGCCGCCGCAGCCAUUCAGUGGGGCAGGACACCACUUGUGGGGCAGAGACUCACUUAUGGGGCAGAUCCCACUUAUGGGGCAGAGACUCACUUGUGGGUCACUGUCACACUUAUGGGUCACUGUCACACUUAUGGGUCGCAGCUCCACUUGUGGGUCGCAGCUCCACUUGUGGGUCAGUCCGUGGGUCCGUCCGUGUCUUCCUUUAUGGGCCCACAUCCACUUGUGGGGCAGCGCUAUGGGGCAGAGCUUCACUUAUGGGGCACGGUCCCACUUGUGGGGCAGACCCCCACUUAUGGGGCAGGGCUCAACUUAUGGGUCAGUCCGUGUGGGUCGCGGCCCCACUUAUGGGUCGCAGCUCCACUUGUGGGUCGGAUCCCAGUUGUGGGGCAGAGCCGCACUUAUGGGACAGAGCUCCACUUGUGGGGCAGGGCUCAACUUAUGGGUCGCAGCUCCACUUGUGGGUCAGUGCGUGGGUCCAUCCAUGUCCUCCCGUGGGUCCACAUCCACUUGUGGGGCAGAGCUAUGGGGCAGAGCUUCACUUGUGGGUCAGAGCUCCACUUGUGGGUCAGAGCUCCACUUAUGGGUCAGUCCGUGGGUCCGUCCGUGUUUUCAUUUCUGGGCCCACAUCCACUUGUGGGGCAGAGCCACGGAGUGCAGCUAUGGGGCAGCGCUAUGGGGCAGGGUCCCACUUGUGGGGCAGGGCUUCACUUAUGGGUCAGAGCUUCACGUACUUCUGGGGCAGCGCCCCACUUAGGGGUCACGGUCCCACUUAUGGGUCAGUCUGUAUGGGGUGGCGCUGUGGGGCAGAGCCAUGGAGGGUCGCUAUGGGGCAGAGCCCCACUUAUGGGGCAGAGCGUCACUUAUGGGUCUGAGCCCCACUUGUGGGUCAGUCUUUGUGGGUUAAUGCCCUACUUAUGGGUCAGAUCCCACUUAUGGGUCACAGCCCCACUUGUGGGGCAGAGCCCCACUUAUGGGGCAGAGCCUCACUUGUGGGUCAGUCUGUGUGGGUCAAAGCCCCACUUAUGGGGCAGAGCCCCACUUAUGGGUCUGUGUGGGUUAAUGCCCUACUUAUGGGGCAGAGCCCCACUUAUGGGUCUGUGUGGGUCACAGCCCUACUUAUGGGGCAGAGCCCCACUUAUGGGUCAGUCUGUGGGGGGUGAUGCUGUGGGGCAGCGUCAUGGAGUGUUGCUAUGGGGCAGAACUGUGGGGCAGGGCACAACUUAUGGGGCAGAGCUCCACUUAUGGGGCAGAGCCUUACUUAUGGGUCAGUCUGUGUGGGUCACAGCCUUACUUAUGGGUCAGGGCCCCAUUUGUGGGUCAAAGCCCCACUUGUGGGGCAGAGACCCGCUUAUGGGGCAAAGCCUCACUUAUGGGGCAGAGCCCCACUUAUGGGUCAGUCUGUGUGGGUCAGAGCCUCACUUAUGGGGCAGAGCCCCACUUGUGGGUCAGUCUGUGUGGGUCAGAGCCCCACUUAUGGGGCAGAGCCCACUUAUGGGUCAGUCUGUGUGGAUUAAUGCCCUACUUAUGGGGCACAGCCCCACUUGUGGGUCUGCGUGGGUCAGAACCUCACUUAUGGGGCAGAGCCGCACUUAUGGGUCACAGCCCCACUUAUGGGUCACAGCCCCACUUAUGGGGCAGAGCCCCACUUAUGGGUCUGAGCCUCACUUGUGGGUCAGUCUGUGUGGGUUAAUGCCCUACUUAUGGGUCAGAUCCCACUUGUGGGUCAGAUCCCACUUAUGGGUCAGGGCCCCACUUAUGGGUCACAGCCCCACUUAUGGGGCAGAGCUCCACUUGUGGGUCACACCUCCAUUUAUGGGUCACAGCCCCUGUGACCUAUGGGGCAAAGGCUGACCUAUGGGGCAGAGACGCAGCUAUGGGGCAGAGAUCCUCAUCUAUGGGGCGGAGACCCAUCUAUGGGGCAGAGACCCUCAUCUAUGGGGCAGAGAUCCUCAUCUAUGGGGUGGAGGCUCUGACCUGC